This 625-nucleotide ribosomal RNA is filed under the name uncultured bacterium. RNAcentral's name for it is "bacterial SSU rRNA". It matches the Rfam family "Bacterial small subunit ribosomal RNA", at positions 82 to 686 of the family's 1533-position model. The record is from RNAcentral.
UAUCUAUAGUACACUGGCGCACGGGUGAGUAAUAUAUAAGUAAUCUGCCCAAGGGAUUGGGAUAACUUCGAGAAAUCGGAGAUAAUACCGAAUGAUGCAGCGGCACCGCAUGGUGAUGUUGUUAAAGUUGCAGCAAUGUAAUGCCUUUGGAUGAGCUUGUAUUCGAUUAGCUAGUUGGUAGGGUAACUGCCUACCAAGGCUACGAUCGAUAGCUGGUCUGAGAGGAUGAUCAGCCACACUGGAACUGAGAUACGGUCCAGACUCCUACGGGAGGCAGCAGUGAGGAAUAUUGGGCAAUGGGCGAAAGCCUGACCCAGCAACGCCGCGUGAAGGAUGAAUGUCGUAAGAUUGUAAACUUCUUUUCUGAGGGAAGAAUUUUUAUGUCUCGUAAGGGGCAUAAGUUGACUGUACCUUAGGAAUAAGCCCCGGCUAACUACGUGCCAGCAGCCGCGGUAAUACGUAGGGGGCGAGCGUUGUCUCGGAUUUACUGGGUAUAAAGGGGCGCGUAGGCGGACUUAUUAAUUCAGAGGUGAAAAUCUCGCCGCUUAACGGCGAACUGCCCUUUGAUACUGUAAGCCUUGAGUUUCAGAAAAAAGAAAUUGGAAUUCCAGGUGUAUUGGUGGAA